Molecule: long non-coding RNA, 390 nt
Organism: Grus americana (Whooping crane)
Lineage: Eukaryota; Metazoa; Chordata; Aves; Gruiformes; Gruidae
Exons: 4
Source: RefSeq, a predicted model, not a curated record
UUAAGAGCAGAAACGUGAUGAUUGAAAAAAUCUUUAGAUCUCUGCAUGUCUUUGGACCUGUACAGUGUGUUUUUUCUGAAAUCAGAAGGGGAAAAUGUUUGUACAGGAGAUAGGCACUUGUGGUCAGACAGACCUGCCUCGACCUCUGAUUCCUGAACUCCAGUACGCUUGUUUUCUUCAUCUCCUGCUGCAUUUGUAUAAGCAAGUCUCAGACCUAGAUGGUAAGACCUUCAACUGGUGGUGAGAAAGAGGUGUUUAAUUCCUCCUUUUGCCAAUCCAAGAGAAAAUUAUGAAGCAUUACUUCCCGUGAAAGGUCGGAACCUUUCAAGGGCUGAGGACUCUGCCACCUCUCAGAGGAGUGAACUAAGCAUCCACAAGUAAAACCCAAAG